UACGGGAGGCAGCAGUGGGGAAUAUUGCACAAUGGGCGCAAGCCUGAUGCAGCCAUGCCGCGUGUAUGAAAAAGGCCUUCGGGUUGUAAAGUACUUUCAGUCGUGAGGAAGGUGUUAAGGUUAAUAACCUUAGCAAUUGACGUUAGCGACAGAAGAAGCACCGGCUAACUCCGUGCCAGCAGCCGCGGUAAUACGGAGGGUGCGAGCGUUAAUCGGAAUUACUGGGCGUAAAGGGCACGCAGGCGGUUAAUUAAGUUGGAUGUGAAAUCCCCGGGCUUAACCUGGGAAUGGCAUUCAAGACUGGUUAGCUAGAGUCUUGUAGAGGGGGUAGAAUUCCAUGUGUAGCGGUGAAAUGCGUAGAGAUGUGGAGGAAUACCGGUGGCGAAGGCGGCCCUCUGGACAAAGACUGACGCUCAUGUGCGAAAGCGUGGGGAGCAAACAGGGAUUAGAUACC
This 454-nucleotide ribosomal RNA is filed under the name uncultured bacterium. RNAcentral's name for it is "bacterial SSU rRNA". It matches the Rfam family "Bacterial small subunit ribosomal RNA", at positions 340 to 786 of the family's 1533-position model. The record is from RNAcentral.